RNAcentral lists this ribosomal RNA (1522 nucleotides) under Salmonella enterica. RNAcentral describes it as "partial 23S ribosomal RNA". It matches the Rfam family "Bacterial large subunit ribosomal RNA", at positions 636 to 2141 of the family's 2925-position model. The record is from RNAcentral. Lineage: Bacteria; Pseudomonadati; Pseudomonadota; Gammaproteobacteria; Enterobacterales; Enterobacteriaceae. RNAcentral also lists the same sequence under 1 other name.
UGUAGCAAGGUUAACCGUAUAGGGGAGCCGAAGGGAAACCGAGUCUUAACCGGGCGUUAAGUUGCAGGGUAUAGACCCGAAACCCGGUGAUCUAGCCAUGGGCAGGUUGAAGGUUGGGUAACACUAACUGGAGGACCGAACCGACUAAUGUUGAAAAAUUAGCGGAUGACCUGUGGCUGGGGGUGAAAGGCCAAUCAAACCGGGAGAUAGCUGGUUCUCCCCGAAAGCUAUUUAGGUAGCGCCUCGUGAAUUCAUCUCCGGGGGUAGAGCACUGUUUCGGCUAGGGGGCCAUCCCGGCUUACCAACCCGAUGCAAACUGCGAAUACCGGAGAAUGUUAUCACGGGAGACACACGGCGGGUGCUAACGUCCGUCGUGAAGAGGGAAACAACCCAGACCGCCAGCUAAGGUCCCAAAGUCAUGGUUAAGUGGGAAACGAUGUGGGAAGGCCCAGACAGCCAGGAUGUUGGCUUAGAAGCAGCCAUCAUUUAAAGAAAGCGUAAUAGCUCACUGGUCGAGUCGGCCUGCGCGGAAGAUGUAACGGGGCUAAACCAUGCACCGAAGCUGCGGCAGCGACGCUGAUGCGUUGUUGGGUAGGGGAGCGUUCUGUAAGCCUGCGAAGGUGGCCUGUGAGGGUUGCUGGAGGUAUCAGAAGUGCGAAUGCUGACAUAAGUAACGAUAAAGCGGGUGAAAAGCCCGCUCGCCGGAAGACCAAGGGUUCCUGUCCAACGUUAAUCGGGGCAGGGUGAGUCGACCCCUAAGGCGAGGCCGAAAGGCGUAGUCGAUGGGAAACGGGUUAAUAUUCCCGUACUUGGUGUUACUGCGAAGGGGGGACGGAGAAGGCUAUGUUGGCCGGGCGACGGUUGUCCCGGUUUAAGCGUGUAGGUGUGUGUUCCAGGUAAAUCCGGUUCACUUUAACACUGAGGCGUGACGACGAGGCACUACGGUGCUGAAGCAACAAAUGCCCUGCUUCCAGGAAAAGCCUCUAAGCAUCAGGUAACAUCAAAUCGUACCCCAAACCGACACAGGUGGUCAGGUAGAGAAUACCAAGGCGCUUGAGAGAACUCGGGUGAAGGAACUAGGCAAAAUGGUGCCGUAACUUCGGGAGAAGGCACGCUGACACGUAGGUGAAGUGAUUUACUCAUGGAGCUGAAGUCAGUCGAAGAUACCAGCUGGCUGCAACUGUUUAUUAAAAACACAGCACUGUGCAAACACGAAAGUGGACGUAUACGGUGUGACGCCUGCCCGGUGCCGGAAGGUUAAUUGAUGGGGUCAGCGCAAGCGAAGCUCCUGAUCGAAGCCCCGGUAAACGGCGGCCGUAACUAUAACGGUCCUAAGGUAGCGAAAUUCCUUGUCGGGUAAGUUCCGACCUGCACGAAUGGCGUAAUGAUGGCCAGGCUGUCUCCACCCGAGACUCAGUGAAAUUGAACUCGCUGUGAAGAUGCAGUGUACCCGCGGCAAGACGGAAAGACCCCGUGAACCUUUACUAUAGCUUGACACUGAACAUUGAGCCUUGAUGUGUAG